CUUUGCUCUGGCUGAUAACUGACAUUUCCUCAGGCUUUGACUCUGCAUUCCACCUAGCCGCGGCAGGAACAACCACGCCUUGCCAGUGUGCCAGCCCCAGAAGGAAAAGCAAAAUGAAAUGGAUGCAAGUUGCAGAGGUAGAUUUUGGCUCAAAGUAAGGAAAAACUUCUAACAACUGGAGAGCUAUCCAAAGGUGGAAUGAAUUACCCAGGAAGUAGUGAGUUUCACAACACUGGAAGUUUUCCAGUACCAGCUGAACGGUGGACGACCUAUGGGAGAUGUUAUAGAUUCCUGCUCAGGAGUGGCAGCAAUGGGGAGAUGAAGUACCUGGCCCCAGACUAGAAAGCAUUGGCAGUGCUGGAGCAACAAUCAAAAAGACAGACUGAAAAGGAGACACUGAAAGGAAGUCUGAGCCAUGACCAAAACGAGAGAUGGAGGGGAGGCGUCGGUGCUGCAAGCAUCUCAGAAGGUUCAGAUCGACUGGUGGUGCUCACUUCUUCCAAGAUUCUCUGUGCCUCUCUAGAAACAGACACUGUAACACACUCUGCUUGAUUUCUUUAUAUUAUAAUUUUUUUGUUAAAUAUUUCCUAAUUACAUGUAAACAAAAUUUAACAUUCUUUUUUUAAA
Molecule: long non-coding RNA, 627 nt
Organism: Phascolarctos cinereus (koala)
Lineage: Eukaryota; Metazoa; Chordata; Mammalia; Diprotodontia; Phascolarctidae
Source: RefSeq, a predicted model, not a curated record